Molecule: ribosomal RNA, 452 nt
Filed under: uncultured bacterium
Lineage: Bacteria
Description: bacterial SSU rRNA
Rfam family: Bacterial small subunit ribosomal RNA
Source: RNAcentral
ACGCAAGUCGAGCGGUAACAUUUCUAGCUUGCUAGAAGAUGACGAGCGGCGGACGGGUGAGUAACGCGUAGGAAUCUGCCUAGUAGUGGGGGACAACAUGUGGAAACGCAUGCUAAUACCGCAUACGCCCUACGGGGGAAAGGAGGGGAUCUUCGGACCUUUCGCUAUUAGAUGAGCCUGCGUGAGAUUAGCUAGUUGGUGGGGUAAAGGCCUACCAAGGCGACGAUCUCUAGCUGGUCUGAGAGGAUGAUCAGCCACACUGGGACUGAGACACGGCCCAGACUCCUACGGGAGGCAGCAGUGGGGAAUAUUGGACAAUGGGCGCAAGCCUGAUCCAGCCAUGCCGCGUGUGUGAAGAAGGCCUUAGGGUUGUAAAGCACUUUCAGGAGUGAGGAAGGGCGUAUAGUUAAUACCUGUACGUNUUGACGUUAACUCCAGAAGAAGCACCGGCU